GUGCAGCUUCUGAAACAUGGCCCUACCAUGAUGUCCUUUCAUGACGCUGCCUUCGCACACACAUUAGCGUAAAGGAACUCGGUACUUGGGGGAAAACAAUGAAAUGAAUGAAUCAUCUCUCCCUUCUCUUCCAACCAACCAACAAAUGAAUGGACCACCAUCAACAAAAGGUUCCAUUGAAGAUUUGAUGAAGGCAAAGAAGCUGCAACACCUUUCAGACCUUUGGGCUCACACCAUUAAUACCUCUGAUCUUGAAGACAAACGACAAUUUGGGUUCAGCAGAGCAAGCAUUAGAUUUCCCUGUGCAGACCGUGUUGUGAUUCAAUGGCCGUUACUUGUCUGCAGGCAAUGGAGUGGCUCUAGAGAAGGACACACAUCUUGUAGCAAUGCAUCUGACUCAGGGCCUUUUAGGAGCUCAAGAAUCGCAGGUUUGCUGGAGGUCACCAACAAUGUCAUCUCAUCAGUGGGAAGGAAGUUGCUUCUACUGACCUGAAAGGUUCAGGGACUUCUGGGAGUUCAAGAAUCUCAGGUUUGUUGGAGGUCACCAACAAUUUCAUCUCAGCGGCCCAGUGCUUUCCCAUUAGCUAUUGAGCUUUUGCAUUCAGUCUCCUUUGCAGCUCUGCUUCCUUGACCGUCAUUCCUGGGCAUGAUUUGAAACCUACUUUCCCCCCGUUAUCCUAAAAGAUAAAGGUUUCUUUUAAUACUUCCAUGGAUGUUUUCUGAUUUUCACAGCUUGUCUUGAGGUAGGAGUCUAACUUUAGAAGCCUUAACAAAAGUAGCCAACUCCACAAUCCUUAAAAUUACCUUUACUCCACACCAUUUAUGCCAUGGCUACUGCAUUCACUCUCUGCCUGGACUUCAUCCUGAUUCACCACCUGUAAGAAUCUUAGUGCUUAGUAUUGGCUACUGUGUGCAAGGAGUUGCAACCAACCAACUUACUACCAUCUGACCAGUUCCAAUUUCAUCUCAGGGGUCUGCUUUCCAGGGCCAGUUUUGAUCCCAGUUUUCUUAGAGUUUCUGCCAGAAAGCUUACACGAAGACAGGGGGCUUGUAUGUAGGUAGUUUAUUUUUGAGGAAGUAUUUUCAGGGAAGAAGAGGAUAGGGUGUGGGAAGCAUGAAACGGAAGUAGGGAAAGUGGAUACAGG
This 1145-nucleotide long non-coding RNA is filed under the name Macaca fascicularis (crab-eating macaque). RNAcentral's name for it is "lncRNA (ENSMFAG00000059101.1)". Lineage: Eukaryota; Metazoa; Chordata; Mammalia; Primates; Cercopithecidae. The record is from RNAcentral.